RNAcentral lists this ribosomal RNA (374 nucleotides) under uncultured bacterium. Its description in RNAcentral is "bacterial SSU rRNA". It matches the Rfam family "Bacterial small subunit ribosomal RNA", at positions 9 to 359 of the family's 1533-position model. The record is from RNAcentral.
GAGUUUGAUCCUGGCUCAGGACGAACGCUGGCGGCGUGCCUAAUACAUGCAAGUCGAGCGCGGGAAACUUUUCAGAUCUCUUCGGAGUGACGAAUUGUGGAACGAGCGGCGGAUGGGUGAGUAACACGUGGGCAACCUGCCUGUAAGAUCGGGAUAACUUGCGGAAACGUGAGCUAAUACCGGAUAAAGCUUCACAUCUCCUGAUGUGUUGAUGAAAGACGGCUCUGCUGUCACUUACAGAUGGGCCCGCGGCGCAUUAGCUAGUUGGUGGGGUAAAGCCUACCAAGGCGACGAUGCGUAGCCGACCUGAGAGGGUGAUCGGCCACACUGGGACUGAGACACGGCCCAGACUCCUACGGGAGGCAGCAGUAGGG